This 876-nucleotide ribosomal RNA is filed under the name uncultured bacterium. RNAcentral describes it as "bacterial SSU rRNA". It matches the Rfam family "Bacterial small subunit ribosomal RNA", at positions 338 to 1234 of the family's 1533-position model. The record is from RNAcentral.
CCUACGGGGGGCAGCAGUGGGGAAUAUUGGGCAAUGGGCGGAAGCCUGACCCAGCGACGCCGCGUGAAGGAGGAAGGCUUUCGAGUUGUAAACUUCUUUGGGGAGGGACGAAGAUGACGGUACCUCCAGAACAAGCCACGGCUAACUACGUGCCAGCAGCCGCGGUAAUACGUAGGUGGCGAGCGUUAUCCGGAUUUACUGGGUGUAAAGGGCGCGCAGGCGGCCCUGGAAGUCAGAUGUGAAAGAUCAAGGCUUAACUUUGACAGGUCAUCUGAAACUUUGGGGCUUGAGUAUCAGAGGGGAAAGUGGAAUUCCUAGUGGAGCGGUAAAAUGCACAGAGAUUAGGAGGAACACCGGUGGCGAAGGCGACUUUCUGGCUGACAACUGACGCUGAGGCGCGAAAGCGUGGGGAGCAAACAGGAUUAGAUACCCUGGUAGUCCACGCCGUAAACGAUGAUUACUGGGUGUAGGGAGUAUCGACUCUCUCUGUGCCGAAGCAAACGCGAUAAGUAAUCCACCUGGGGAGUACGGCCGCAAGGCUAAAACUCAAAGGAAUUGACGGGGACCCGCACAAGCAGUGGAGUAUGUGGUUUAAUUCGAGGCAACGCGAAGAACCUUACCAGGGAUUGACAUCCUGCGCUAGGCCUGGAGACAGGUUGUUCCUUCGGGACGCAGAGACAGGUGGUGCAUGGUUGUCGUCAGCUCGUGUCGUGAGAUGUUCGGUUAAGUCCGGCAACGAGCGCAACCCUUGUUGUCAGUUACCAUCAUUAAGUUGGGGACUUUGGCGAGACUGCCGUUGACAAAACGGAGGAAGGUGGGGAUGACGUCAAAUCAUCAUGCCCCUUAUAUCCUGGGCUACACACGUACUACAAUGGG